This 484-nucleotide ribosomal RNA is filed under the name uncultured bacterium. RNAcentral's name for it is "partial 16S ribosomal RNA". It matches the Rfam family "Bacterial small subunit ribosomal RNA", at positions 30 to 507 of the family's 1533-position model. The record is from RNAcentral.
AUUGAACGCUGGCGGCAGGCCUAACACAUGCAAGUCGAGCGGAUGAAGGGAGCUUGCUCCUGGAUUCAGCGGCGGACGGGUGAGUAAUGCCUAGGAAUCUGCCUGGUAGUGGGGGAUAACGUCCGGAAACGGGCGCUAAUACCGCAUACGUCCUGAGGGAGAAAGUGGGGGAUCUUCGGACCUCACGCUAUCAGAUGAGCCUAGGUCGGAUUAGCUAGUUGGUGGGGUAAAGGCCUACCAAGGCGACGAUCCGUAACUGGUCUGAGAGGAUGAUCAGUCACACUAGAACUUGGACACGGUCCCGGCUCCUGCGGGAGGGAGCAGUGGGGAAUAUUGGGCAAUGGGCGGAAACCUUGUCCAACCAUGGCGCGUGUGUGAAAGAGGUCUUCGGAUUGUAAAGCCCUUUUAGUUGGGAGGAAGGGCAGUAAGUUAAUACCUUGCUGUUUUGACGUUACCAACAGAAUAAGCACCGGCUAACUUCGUG